Sapajus apella (tufted capuchin) is the source of this 7552-nucleotide RNA transcript. It is a transcript of the gene named myotubularin related protein 8, with no coding region annotated. The record is from RefSeq and is a predicted model, not a curated record. NCBI's taxonomy places the organism in Eukaryota, Metazoa, Chordata, Mammalia, Primates, Cebidae. The transcript is spliced from 12 exons.
GCAGGACUGACAGAGAAAAGAGAGGAAGUGGCCAUUUGUAAGUCAGAAGUUGCUGUUGGCCUGACAAGUAGAAUACAAAAACACUGUUAAAGUUGUGCAACAUGUUACAAUAAGCAGUACUUUUGGGACAUGGGGGCCCAGUUAAAAACUUUUGGUAAGGACUCCUUCCCUAACAUGUGAAACCCUGAAGCGUCAGUUCAGUCAACUAUCCAGCAUUCUUUGUAAUAGGAAGCCAGGCAGAAAGAUCCCACUUUGUGUUGAUACCACAAAAAAUUAAAACUUUUUUUUAAAAGAAGAACCCAAACAAUACUCCAGGUUUUAAUUCCUUACAUAAAGGCAAACUUGCAUACACCACAGUCCUUUUCUGGGACUGUCUGACAAAACAUUCCCUUUGGGAAAAGGAAAUCUAGCCUUUAUUUGCAUUGUUUGAUGAUCUUUAGGUUUCAUUCAUCAUUUUGUUCCCCAUGCCUAUCUCUCUUCUCCAGCAUUACCUGAAGAUCUUUAUGCUUUUUCUUACAAUCCCAAAUUCUCAAAAGAGAUGAGGGAAAGUGGAUGGAGACUGAUUGACCCAAUAUCAGACUUUGGGCGUAUGGGAAUACCCAACAGAUACUGGACUAUAACAGAUGCCAACAGAAACUAUGAGAUAUGUAGCACCUACCCUCGUGAAAUAGUGGUUCCUAAAUCUGUUACCUUGGGAACGGUGGUUGGAAGUUCAAAAUUCAGAAGUAAAGAACGUGUCCCUGUGCUCUCCUACCUCUGCAAAGAGAACAGUGCUGCCAUUUGCCGCUGUAGCCAGCCUCUCUCUGGAUUUUACACUCGCUGUGUAGAUGAUGAGCUCUUGUUGGAGGCGAUUAGCCAAACAAACCCAGGGAGCCAGUUUAUGUAUGUUGUAGACACAAGACCAAAGUUGAAUGCCAUGGCCAACCGAGCAGCUGGGAAAGGGUAUGAAAAUGAAGACAACUAUGCCAACAUUCGCUUCAGAUUCAUGGGCAUUGAGAACAUCCAUGUGAUGCGGAACAGUCUGCAGAAACUUUUGGAAGUUUGUGAAUUGAAAACUCCAACAAUGAGUGAAUUUCUUAGCGGCCUGGAGAGCUCAGGGUGGUUAAGACACAUUAAAGCUAUUAUGGAUGCUGGAAUUUUCAUUACAAAGGCAGUAAAGGUAGAAAAGGCCAGUGUCUUAGUCCAUUGUUCUGAUGGGUGGGACCGCACAGCACAAGUCUGCUCGGUGGCCAGCAUCCUCCUAGAUCCAUUUUAUAGGACAUUCAAAGGACUUAUGAUCUUGAUAGAGAAGGAAUGGAUAUCCAUGGGCCACAAGUUUUCCCAAAGGUGUGGCCACUUCGAUGGAGACUCUAAAGAAGUGUCCCCUGUCUUCACCCAGUUCCUAGACUGUAUUUGGCAAUUAAUGGAACAGUUUCCUUGUGCCUUUGAGUUUAAUGAAAACUUCCUGCUGGAGAUCCAUGACCAUGUUUUCUCCUGCCAGUUUGGAAACUUCCUUGGAAACUGCCAGAAGGAUCGGGAAGAUCUAAGAAUCUAUGAGAAAACACAUUCUUUAUGGCCUUUCUUGGUUCAGAGGAAAUCAGACUUCAGGAACCCUCUCUAUAAAGGCUUCACUAUGUAUGGGGUACUCAAUCCCAGUACUGUGCCCUACAACAUUCAGUUCUGGUGUGGGAUGUAUAACCGCUUUGACAAAGGGCUGCAGCCCAAGCAGAGUAUGCUAGAGAGCCUCCUGGAAAUUAAGAAACAGAGAGCAAUGCUGGAGACAGAUGUGCAUGAACUAGAAAAGAAACUAAAAGCCCGUGAUGAGCCACCAGAAGAGAUCUGUACCUGCUCUCAAUUAGGAAACUUACUAUCCCAACAUCUGGGAAGUCCUUUGACCAAUCCUCUUGGCUUUAUGGGUAUUGAUGGAGACCUGAAUACCUUGAUGGAAAAUGGCACCCUCUCCAGGGAAGGAGGCCUCCGAGCUCAGAUGGAUCAAGUAAAAAGCCAGUGUGCAGACCUCCACCGUGACUGUUGUGGGAUUGUGGGCAGCCUUAGGGCCAUAAAUAUCUAUGGGGAUGUGGGCAUCUCUGGAGACAGAGGCAUCUAUGGAGACAUGAGUACCUCUGAGACUACAGAGUUCUCCAGAGACUUAGGAAUCUCUGGGGCCAUGGACAUCUCUGAGGCCACGGGUAUCUCUGGAAACAUGGGUAUUUCUGAGGCCAGGGGUUUAUCUGGAGAGCUGGGUUUCCCUGGGGAUAUGGGCAUCUUGGGAGACACAGGCAUCUCCAAGGCCAGCACCAAUGAGGCAGACUACUCCAAGCAGCAGUGAAUUAGUUACUCAUCUGCUUCCAUGCUAGGUACACCUACAGCAGCUACAAUGAUUAUUGUCCCAGAGAGGGCUCUGCUACUUUUCCAAUUGGUUUAAGCGGGUGAGGCCAGGGCACCCCUCUUCCCACUUAAGAGUCUAGAAGGAAAUUACUUUACCGAUUAAGUGACCAAUAUGUUCAUAUUAAGCAGUACAGAGUAUAGCCAAGGCAAAGAAUAUGUUAUUGUUCUAAAAUGGGAUUUAACUAUAGAAAUGUUGCCUCUCAGCUGAGACAUGUAUUAAACUGGUUCUACUAUCUGUUUUCCUUAAUGAUUGACCUCCCCUAUUUUCUACCCUCACUGAUGUAAUGUGAGAGUGAAUGGAAGUAUUUUCACAAUGGUCAAUAACGACCCAUUUGAGGGGAUGGAGAGAUGGUAUACACCAGGUAACUAAAUUGCAGAAUAUAUUAAAAGAAAAUUUUACUUUCAGGUAUUCUUAAGUCAUGAGAUGUUAGCUAACAUUAUUGCUAAUGGAGACAUACAAUAUUUCCCUGAGAAAGAAAUCAAAAUGAUGCUUAAUUGUUAGCAUGAGUGCAUGGGUGUUUGGUGGUUUGAAACAUGUAAGGAAAGUUUUCUUAAGUUAUGACACUUGCUCUCUCCAACCCACACCCCACCUAGGUCUUGUUAUAAUACUUAGCCAGUUCCCUUUUUCAUAGAUGGCUCAUAGGUAAACUUGAAUCCACUACAGUCUGAAAUUAUAAAUUUCAAAUUAAUGAGUUUUGUAUUAAUAACAUUGAUUAAUAGCAUUCUCAGCAUCGGUUCAGGAAGUAAUUGAAAAUCUUGGUGCUUCAGACUCAGACUGAGACAUGGUCUAUGUGCUUAUCUGGGUUUUUGCAAAAUACAUCCCGUUUUGGGUCUUUUUAUGAAGACAAGUGGUUUCCCUUUUCUGGAUAUCACAUGAGAUUUUUGGAUUUUUUAGGCACAAUUGGCCCUACUUUUAAAUCUGGUAGGUUUAUCACCUUGUGCUAAUGUACACUUUUGAAUAAAGUCCAUUCUGAUAGCAUAUACAGAUACUCCUGGGGAAAGGGAUGUAUUUUUAUUUAAACAUCAGAUUUUCUCCUAGAGCUUGAUAUACUUGAUGGGUUUUUCAUCUUUCCUGUUGGAUAUUUAGUCAUGAUUUUGCCACUUCCACAUACUGAGAGUAGGAUAGGCCUUGGUCAGUUUGGAUCAUGCUCUGUAUAUUCUCAGCAAUUCCAGAACUCUUAAUGCCAACAGAAUACAGGUCCUCAACCAAAAUGUCUUUUCCAAAUACUCUAUAUUUGGCUUAAGCUAAAAAAUUAGAUGACUUAAAGAGGCAUCUCUUGAUUUUCACAUCCAGUUGUGCACAUAGAAAUCUCUAGAGGAUUUAGGUGCUUUCCUUCAAAAAAAUCUCUAAAGGCUUAGGUGCUUUUCUUUGAAAGAAAAGGGGUACUUUUUAAGGGUUUAAUUUAUGUGUAGGAGAGGAAUACCAGGAUAGCUCCUUGAUUUCUUUUCCCUAGCUAAACUAUUUACCCAAAACAACCUCUUUAGUGGAAGAACUGUAAAUCAUUUUGGUUGUCUUUUUUUAAUAUAUAAAUGGAGUCAUUUUUCUGUUUAUUUCCUCUUGGUAACUGUUUUAAUUCUUUGUUUUUAAAGAACUCUUAAUUUAUUUGGAACUUUCCCAUUAAUAAAUAGGGCCAUAUCUUACUUACAUCUUUUUGAUAGCUGCCUUGAUCUUAUAAUUUUAAAGCAUGAGGAUGAUUUCCUUUUGUAUCUCUCUUGUCCUCCUCUUUCCAUGAUUUAGUCCUUACUUUAUAUAAACUAAAUCAUCAUUUGACUUCUUUUGGAAAAUAAAACGGGGUCUGUACACACCAUUUUGAUCUGGAAGUUACAUGUAAUUCUGGCUUUGUGAAGGACGUUGCCAAAAAGGAUGACGGUACCAAUCUGCCACCAGUGAGCCAUUCUGGAGCUUGCUCCCACACCUUUCUCCCAUAUCUCAAUCUGUAUUUUGCAGUCCAUUAAUUAGCAUGAUGUUCUGGAUAGAGUGUGUUGAGUUUUCAGGGAAGAAAGUAAAAAGGUAAAUGGUAAGACAGAGUAGUUUUUGCAAAUAAAAAAAAUUAAGCCUUGAUUUAUUCCUAAAGAUCUGUACAAGGACAGUACAUAGUACCUAACCUUAUUUCUUAGAUCAAAAACAAAAUAAUAGUGAAAGGAAAGACUUUUCAAUAUAAUUCUAAACUGAGAAGUGGUAAACCACAACCCUGGUAUUUCCAAAAGUAAAAACAAAAUUUUUAAAAGACUGUAUUAUUUUGUUAAUUAAGGCCACAGGAGCAAUUUCAGUCUCAAAAUCUGUGAGGUCAGUUAGUUUGGUCUUCGAUAUUUUUACUCUCCAACAUGUCCCAUUAUUGCUUGCAUAUAACAAAUACAGAACUAAGAAAAAAAAAAGCUGCGUGAAAAUCACCUAUUUAUUCUCAACACCCAACACCUUUUGGGUUUACAGUUGGAUUUGAAAAUCUGAGAGAAGAAAAAGAUGGAAUCCAGAUAUUUAUACACUAGUAAAAGCAGAGUAGCUAUCUGUAGGUAGGAGCUCAGCAAUAGUGAGGAGACUUAUGAAGGUAAGUUGGCAGGAGUACUAGAAAAGAUGAUCUAUUAAUGGCUUUCACUUCAUACUCUGAUAUAACACCUAUGCCGCAAAAGAAAUAUGACUCCCUACCCACACUGUCCUACCCUACCAGUUCCCCAAGCAGAAAUUCCAUUCUCAUGUGACUGCUUUACUUAAAUUGGAAGGCAUUUAACCACCUGCCACUGUCAUCCACUAAUCUGACCUCUGCCUGCUUUCUACACAAGUUUCACAGGCCUGGGGUUACUGCUUAUCUUUUCUAAACAUGAAGCAUGCUCUGUUUCUGUGCUUGUGGCCAGACUCAAAUUCUACCAUGGCCACUGUUUUAAAAAUUCAUUAAUUAUUUGCUUAGUUGAUGAAAUGACAGAUUUAUCACAGUAAUAAAGCAAUCUUAAAUAACAAACUUAAAUAACAGCUAACACUUUUGACUUUUUAAAGAAGAAAUUCACUAAUAAGGCUUGCUCUAUGAAAGAAAACCUGAAAUUAUAUAGAACUAACCACAAGAAUGUAAAGCUUAUGGUGUAUAUAUUAGACAUAUAUAUCUUUGGAAAGUAGCCUUAGAAAUUAUCUUCAAUUACCAGCAAGUCAGUUGUCAUUGCCUGCCAACAUGCAUGAAACACCUUUAGUCUGAGAUAGCCCUCACACUUCACUAGAAGUGAGACCUUUCUCAGAAUACUUCCAGCCAAAAGGAAUCCAAAUCUUUUUAAGAGGUGCUUUUCAAACCUAAUUGGUAACUAUUUAAGUUGGGUUUUAAUUAAGUAGAAAGAGAAGUUUAAUAACUAAAGAUGAUCGUGUUAGAUCUUUGUUACAUACUGGCUUUUAUUAAACACCCAACUUUUCUUGAUGCUAAUUAGGCUUUGAUAUACUUUUGAGAAAUCUCUCUGUGAGAGUAUUUUAUUAAGUGUCCUUUUUUCUAAACAAUUGUUUAGGGAAAUGUAAAUUACCUUUAUGUUAAAAUACCUCUCUCAAAAGGGGUUUACUAUACUCCAGAUUGGUUUAUACCUAGGAAGAUAAUUCUCACCUUCUCUAUUAAUUCCCAGUGUGUAUAAUUUAGUGAUAUAUAAACCAAAUCUUUACCCCACCUUCAGGCUUCUCACUCUCAGAAUUCUAUGUAUGAUACAGGCAGAUUCUCCAACCAAAUCUGGUUGCUUUAUUCUAAGUGCCAAAUCUACACCUGCUUUUUGAUACAGACAUUUAAAAACAAACAAAAAGACAUGGCUUAAGCCUUACAUGUUAUUCCUAUGGUUUUUUUGUUUGUUUUUGUUUUAAUAUACUGUGAAGAAACGGUUGGGCUGUCAGGCAAUACCAAACAGACAGAGGGAAAGAUGUUAGGUCAUAAACGACUCUUGUUUUCUUGUCCUUUUAAAGGCAGUUGUGAUUUCAAAGUAUGUGAUGGUAGCAUAGAAACUUUUCCAAAGAAAAAAGAAAAAGAAAAUCUGCUUUUCAAGCCCUAUAGAACAUGUCUUCUCUGAUUCCCUGGCUGUGGGACUGACAGUCUUUCCCUUACUUUUAAAUAGGAAGUACUAGUAUUGUCACGAGCCUUGGCAGCUCAUGUCUCCUUUACAUGUCAAUGCAAGUAAAAGCAUGUUACAUUCUCUACGAUUUGUGACUUGUUUUCACAAAAGACAAGUGUGCUUUGAAAGCAGCUGUCUCAUUUAGAUCCAUGGGUCUUGCAGGAACUGAGAAGUUGGCAUGCUAAGUCUGGUGCCCUGUCCCUGGGUGCUUUUUAAAGCAUUGGGGGUAACUUAAAAGCCUUUUUCUCUUCCAAAGCUUUAUUAACCUUUCAACCAUUUUCAUGGCUUCGUACUCUGACUUUUUAGAGGGCCCUACACCAGCCCUAACAGAAUCCUAGUUGUAGAAAAAGAGGUGGGAAAGGUGAAGGGAAGAGAAUAAUAAUAAAGAAAUACACCUGGCCAGUUCAAUAAAAAGAGUGUAUACUUAUUCAUGAUUACCAGCAUUCCAGUUAUUUAAAAUUUCAUGUGCUCCUUGAGAUUAAAUUGUUCAUAAUAAGGUCCAAAAGUCUUCUUUUCCAAGUGGUACUGAGAGUAAUCUAUUUUCUUUUUAAGGCUUUUACACUGGUAGAAACUCUUUCCUUAAGAAUGCUAUGAAAUGCUUUGAGUUUUGUAUUUUCGUUGUCAAUACUUUUCUCUGUUAUGAUAUGUAGUCCUGGGUUUUCUUUUAUUUUUAGAGAGUUAAGGCUGAUGGGUGGUAUUCUCUCCCCUUAGUAUGUCCCUGAGGCAGAUCAGUCCUUAGCCCUCUUUUUGCUUCUUGUGCUGAAGCAUCAUUGGAUUUCUCACCAGUCAGAUGAGAAACAUACACCAAAGUCAUAGAUAAUCACUGUUCAAACACCCAUGUCCUCUGGUCCCACUUCACAUGCAUUUGGCCAUACUAGUUCACAUGCAGUGCCUCCAAGUCUCCACCUCACUUGCAUUUGCAGACAGGGUGAUUUAUUUCGUGAAUGCCAGUGAGAAGCAGAGCACAUAUACUGCUUCUGAAACAGCAUGUUGUAUAUUCUACUUUGACAAUGCGUCUGGCUUAGGAACAGCUAACAAGUUCAGUCCUUUCAGAAUAUAGCUCAUGGUACAGCUGUGUGUGUGUGUGUGUGUGUGUGUGUGUGUGUGUGUGUGUGUGUGU